CUGAAGUUGCAGCCCUACGUGCAACGCUCGGUGGUCUCGCGCCCAUGCGCCAAGCUUGCAUAUAAGUUCUUCAGCCCCUACACCGUCUUGGAGAAGAUUGGACCACUGGCGUAUAGGAUGGAUCUGCCGCCAGACAGCCGCGUGCAUCCAGUCUUCCACGUCUCCCAGCUGAAGCCGUUCACGACGGAUUACACGCUAGUGUUCGCCGAGCUUCCCCGAGUCCACGACCUGUUGGCUUCACUGACAGAACCCGUCAAGAUCCUGGAGCGGCGCAUGAUGAAGCACGGCGACGCGCCCGUGGUGCAGCUCAAGAUCCCGUGGUCAUCGUCGUCUCCGGACGCGGCCACCUGGGAGGACUACGACGUUCUAUGCCGACGCUUUCCCACGGCCACCAUCUGGGAGGGAGAAGCCUCGUCUUAA
Molecule: ribosomal RNA, 420 nt
Filed under: Triticum aestivum (bread wheat)
Lineage: Eukaryota; Viridiplantae; Streptophyta; Magnoliopsida; Poales; Poaceae
Description: partial small subunit ribosomal RNA
Source: RNAcentral